RNAcentral lists this ribosomal RNA (254 nucleotides) under uncultured bacterium. RNAcentral's name for it is "partial 16S ribosomal RNA". It matches the Rfam family "Bacterial small subunit ribosomal RNA", at positions 524 to 776 of the family's 1533-position model. The record is from RNAcentral.
UACAGAGGUGGCAAGCGUUGUUCGGAAUUACUGGGCGUAAAGGGCGCGUAGGCGGCCUUCUAAGUCAGACGUGAAAUCCCCAGGCUUAACUUGGGAACUGCGUCUGAUACUGGGAGGCUUUGAGCGCGGGAGAGGGAUGUGGAAUUCCAGGUGUAGCGGUGAAAUGCGUAGAUAUCUGGAGGAACACCGGUGGCGAAGGCGGCAUCCUGGACCGACACUGACGCUGAGGCGCGAAAGCUAGGGGAGCAAACGGG